This is a long non-coding RNA of Orcinus orca (killer whale), 263 nucleotides long. RefSeq lists it as uncharacterized. Lineage: Eukaryota; Metazoa; Chordata; Mammalia; Artiodactyla; Delphinidae. The transcript has 3 exons. The record is from RefSeq and is a predicted model, not a curated record.
GCUGCCUGAAUUACAGCUUCUAAAACUCAAGAGCUAAGGAGGGGGUGAGAAUGCUAAUGUCCUACUCCUCCUGGGAUAAAAAUAUAGUCCUAGAUUUGGAGCUGGGCAGGAACUUCAUGCAGAGUACAGCGAAGGAUUGGAGGGAUAUUCAUGAACGAGAAAUCAAUGGAGGACAAGAUGACUCACAUUUUUCCCCAAAGUAUAAUGCAGGAUCACUGUUGCCUUAUUGAUUUUCUUUCUCAAAGACCUGUCCAUUGAUGUGA